AUGGCAGAAAGAAAGGGUGUCACGACGACGAUAACGGAAACGGUGCCACAACAACGUUCUGGUUCCGGCAUAGUCGACGAAUCGGGACAGGGGAGCUUGACUGCUGGUCAUCUCCUCCACCAGGACACAGAACAGAGGCGCGACGGCAGGGAAAAACGGAGCCAGGCGAGGGACUUGGGGAUGGGCUCCAGCGACGCAGACGAGACGAAGGACGCCUCCGGGCGGAUGAGCUCUAGGCGGUGCUCGCCUCGAAGCUUUCCGGCGACGUGA
RNAcentral lists this ribosomal RNA (270 nucleotides) under Triticum aestivum (bread wheat). Its description in RNAcentral is "partial small subunit ribosomal RNA". The record is from RNAcentral. Lineage: Eukaryota; Viridiplantae; Streptophyta; Magnoliopsida; Poales; Poaceae.